GAGAAGACAGCUGGCAGUGUGAGUGAAGGCAGAAGCUGCAGAAGGAUUUUACGGUGUGGCUGUUCACAUCAAGGGCAGUUGGUUUCUGUUCUACUACUCUUCCACACUGAGAGCUGUGCCAGAAGUUGAUACGGACAGCUGCUUGAGAGUUUCAUGACAUUCCAGGUAAUGCUUAUGUUUGGCAGUGCCUUCUACUUUG
RNAcentral lists this long non-coding RNA (199 nucleotides) under Chinchilla lanigera (long-tailed chinchilla). Its description in RNAcentral is "lncRNA (ENSCLAG00000027670.1)". Lineage: Eukaryota; Metazoa; Chordata; Mammalia; Rodentia; Chinchillidae. The record is from RNAcentral.